RNAcentral lists this unclassified non-coding RNA (220 nucleotides) under uncultured Tomentella. Its description in RNAcentral is "sequence contains ITS2". The record is from RNAcentral. Lineage: Eukaryota; Fungi; Basidiomycota; Agaricomycetes; Thelephorales; Thelephoraceae.
ACACCUCAACUCUCAUGGCUUGCCAUGAUGAGCUUGGACCUUGGGGGUCUUGCUGGCGUAUACAGGUCAGCUCCCCUCAAAUGAAUCAGCUUGCCGGUGUUUGGUGGCGUCACAGGUGUGAUAAAUAUCUACGCUUGUGGCUUUCCACCACGUAACCUUCAGCAAUGGAGGUUCACUGGAGCUCAUAAAUGUCUCUCCUUGGUGAGGACAGAUUUUGACC